UAUGGAAAAGCAAAUGUAGGCAUGAGUAACGAUAAUGCGGGAGAGUAACCCGCACACCGCAAGACCAAGGUUUCCUGAUCAACGCUAAUCGGAUCAGGGUUAGUCGGGUCCUAAGGGUAAGCCGAACGGCGAUCUCGAUGGAUAAUCGGUUAAUAUUCCGAUACUAACAUAUACCUCGAUGGAGAGACGAAGGAACGUAAGUGCCGCCACCUGACGGAAUAGGUGGUUAAAGGGCGUAGGUAUAGGGGCAGAUUAAGAGUUAGUCCUUGCUGAAACCUGACAGUACAGAGAGCCUACGGGCAAUUUGAUAGAGCACCCAAGUCGACUUCCGAGAAAAUCUUCUAAGUUAUAGUAUAUGUUACCCGUACCGUAAACCGACACAGGUGGUCGAGGAGAGUAUCCUAAGGUGCUCGAGUGAAUCACGGUUAAGGAACUAGGCAAAUUAACCCCGUAACUUCGGGAAAAGGGGUCCCUAUGAAAGUAGGGCGCAGCGAAGAGGUCCAGGCGACUGUUUAUCAAAAACACAGGGCUCUGCAAAUUCGAAAGAAGACGUAUAGGGCCUGACACCUGCCCGGUGCUGGAAGGUUAAGAGGGGAUGUCAUCGCAAGAGAAGCAUUGAAUCGAAGCCCCAGUAAACGGCGGCCGUAACUAUAACGGUCCUAAGGUAGCGAAAUUCCUUGUCGGGUAAGUUCCGACCUGCACGAAUGGUGUAACGAUCUGGACACUGUCUCAACCGUGAGCUCGGUGAAAUUGUAGUCCCGGUGAUGAUGCCGGGUACCCGCAACGGGACGAGAAGACCCCGUGAACCUUUACUAUAGCUUAACGCUGAAUUUGGGUACACAAUGUGUAGGAUAGGCCGGAGGCUUUGAAGCGGGCACGCCAGUGUUCGUGGAGCCGACGUUGAAAUACGGCCCUUUGUGUAUUUGAGUUCUAACCCUGCGAAGGGGACACCGUUUGGUGGGUAGUUUGACUGGGGUGGUCGCCUCCAAAAGCGUAACGGAGGCUUCCCAAGGUACCCUCAGCACGAAUGGUAACCGUGCGCGGAGUGCAAUAGCAUAAGGGUGCUUGACUGUGAGACAUACAAGUCGACCAGGUACGAAAGUAGGGUAUAGUGAUCCGGUGGUUCUGCGUGGACUGGCCAUCGCUCAAAGGAUAAAAGGUACUCCGGGGAUAACAGGCUGAUCGCCGCCAAGAGCUCAUAUCGACGCGGCGGUUUGGCACCUCGAUGUCGGCUCGUCACAUCCUGGGGCUGGAGAAGGUCCCA
This 1264-nucleotide ribosomal RNA is filed under the name human gut metagenome. Its description in RNAcentral is "bacterial LSU rRNA". It matches the Rfam family "Bacterial large subunit ribosomal RNA", at positions 1281 to 2567 of the family's 2925-position model. The record is from RNAcentral.